Molecule: ribosomal RNA, 424 nt
Filed under: uncultured Clostridium sp.
Lineage: Bacteria; Bacillati; Bacillota; Clostridia; Eubacteriales; Clostridiaceae
Description: bacterial SSU rRNA
Rfam family: Bacterial small subunit ribosomal RNA
Source: RNAcentral
CCUACGGGUGGCAGCAGUGGGGAAUAUUGCACAAUGGUGGAAACCCUGAUGCAGCGACGCCGCGUGAGCGAAGAAGUAUUUCGGUAUGUAAAGCUCUAUCAGCAGGGAAGAAGAAAUGACGGUACCUGACUAAGAAGCACCGGCUAAAUACGUGCCAGCAGCCGCGGUAAUACGUAUGGUGCAAGCGUUAUCCGGAUUUACUGGGUGUAAAGGGAGCGCAGGCGGUACGGCAAGUCUGAUGUGAAAGGCAUGGGCUCAACCUGUGGACUGCAUUGGAAACUGUCAUACUUGAGUGCCGGAGGGGUAAGUGGAAUUCCUAGUGUAGCGGUGAAAUGCGUAGAUAUUAGGAGGAACACCAGUGGCGAAGGCGGCUUACUGGACAGUAACUGACGUUGAGGCUCGAAAGCGUGGGGAGCAAACAGGA